This 9372-nucleotide long non-coding RNA is filed under the name Gossypium barbadense (sea-island cotton). Its description in RNAcentral is "long non-coding RNA (GBAR_LNC017477)". The record is from RNAcentral. Lineage: Eukaryota; Viridiplantae; Streptophyta; Magnoliopsida; Malvales; Malvaceae.
GGUAAUUCGCAUUUCUAUAAAGAGUGGAAAACUAUUGAAAUAAUUAUAUAUAUUAUGUAAAUUGCUCCAGAAGAAUAAUUAAAAGAAAUGUUUUCUUUUCAUAUAUUAUUUGUUGAUGCAUCUGUCAUUUUUUUAGACACUUUUUUUUUUAAUUUAGGUCCAUCUAUUUAGAAAAUAACAGAAUGAAAUAAACAGCAUAAAACAACAAAGUAAGUCACAGGCCACCUCAAUAAUAACACAUAGCAAAACAGCAAUUUCUAAACAUCAAAACACCGAACUCAAAAAUUAAAAACAUAAAAAAACCUGACCAGUUUUUUCGGAUAGUUAAUUAAUUUCCGGAAAAUGUCGUCCUAUUGCCGGCGAUAAGAAAGUUCGGAACAAAUUAUACUUCUAUCUAACCAUUAUCCAGACAAAAAAAAGCAACUACUGAAGAAUCUAUUCAGGCACCAUAUGACAGGAAUAAAGUCGGAGCAGAAUAAGAAAAAAAUUAACUACAGCAGGCCAGUUAAAAAUCUGCCAUAUGAAUUAAUAUUCAUUAGUUUAUAAUCUAUGUACACUUGGUUAUGAAGUAAAUAUGUGGAGCAGAAUUUGGUUGCACGGUGGAAAAAUAUUUGGUUUAAUUCAAAAAUUAAUCUCUCAACUUUAAAAAAAUUGAAAUCUUAGUUUUGCCAUUUUAAUUAAUAACAAUAUGAUCAUUCUGCUUUUACCAAAACUGAAAAAUUUGUCCCUAAACUAUUAAGUUUUGGUGAUUGGCUUAAAUGAAAAAAUGCCCCUAAAGCUACAGCCUUUUUUGCAUUAUGAAUAAUGCAACGGUAACAUUUAUGGUAAUUAAAACCUUCUUUAAAUCACUACUACUGUUUUGGACAAAUUAACAGAGAGAAGUAAAAAAACCUUAAAAAUUUAAAUUAUAUUAAAUUUUUUUAAACUUAUUUAAUUUUAAAACAAUUGCUUCAAAAUUAAACAGUUAUGUUCAAAAAUAUUUUACUAAUCUUUUUAAAAUUAAAUACUAUCAAAAGAAAACUGGACAUAAAAACAGCUCAAACGCAUUCCAAAACAACCCAACCCAAAACACUAAAAAAAUGAAAACAAAACCAAAUACGUGGCCCGAGCAAAAAGAUGGAUCACAAACCAGUAUGCAAAAAGAGAACACAGAUUUAUAGACUUUCACAAUAGAAGCAACUUACUGUCCAUUUGCAAAUAGGGUCAGACAGCCUCCAAGCGGGAUAAAAGCCCAAAAAGCCAUAAACUAAGGAGGGCACAGGCCCAAACGCCAAAACAGAAGCCCUAAAAGAGAAACCGAAACAGUAUUUAGCGAAGAAAAAAAUAAAAGGAAAUUAAAGUAGACGGAAACAAACAAAUUGAAGGAAAAAAAAGAACAUAUAGUACAAGAUAAAGAACCAAAAAGUACCACACCGAGAUCCAUAAUUUCAACGGAACAUAACAGUGACUCUUUGAAUAAGAAAACAGGAAACCCUGGCAAAAGUCCACUGAAAAGAUUAGUAGAAAGAAGCAUAUAUUUGAAACUAAAAACAGAGAUGAAAAGGAAAGAAACAAAGUUAAAUACAUAUUCAUCCAUGAAAUGAAUCUCCAAUGAAUUAGGGGAUUUCAAAAAUCACAAAUAACAGAAACGAUAAACAAAACUUAGGGUUUCUCUACCUAAUGUACCGUAUUUGUGUGUGUGAAGAAAGAAACGACAACAAAGGAGGCUGGGAGAAAGAAAACAGGACAGAAGGAAAAUAUUUGAAAAGAAUGGAAAAAACAGUAGUUAAGAAAGGAGAAAGGAACGUUUAGGGUUUAGGUAGAUAAUAGAUCAAACCUUUUCUAACCCAAUAGCGGAGUGGAUUUUUUUGUGAUCAAAUAAAAAUCAAACGGCAAAACUGAGUUGAAACAACUGACUAACGAACAUUAGAAUUCAUCCAGUUUGAUAGUUUGGAGCGAAAAAGGCAGUCAGAGGACCAUAUGAGUGCACCAACACUCGGUACAUGUGACAUGCACGCAUCUUAUAUGGGUAUGUUUGACUUUUUUUUUUGGUAAGUUUUUCUCUAUAUUAACCCAACUCUUCAUUUUGCCUAAAUAACUAUCGUGUCUGAAUUCAUCUCCAACACAUGCUCAGACAUGGGCAUCGAGAUAUAAUCCUCCAAAAGUCCUCCAAAUACAUGCGAUCCUAGAAAAAACUGAAAAUACUCAGGUCAGAUGCCUAUGUCCAAUACUUACACCGAAGUCCAAGUAACAUAACCUUUCAUGUAUUUGGAGGGUCAUAUGCUAUACCCACGUCCGGGAAUGUGUUGAACAUGGAUACUUUAAGAAAAAUGAAAAUUAAAGCAACACAGGAUGAUAGUUUUUAAUUUGCUUUAUUCAGUUUGGUCAAUUCCACAGGCUGCUAGACUAGUCACCAUAUUCUGCAGAAAGCAUUAUCAGCAUAACCCUAUUGUCAAACGAAUUCCCUGAUAAGCAGAACCAUGUUUAACCUUGAAUGUACAUUUAACAGAAUUUUAACAAUUUAUACAAAGGCACAAUUGCUUAAACAAUUUCAUUAGAAAUGAAGUAUGUGGUCUUAGUUGAACUUUAGGCAUUAUAUCCAUAAAAGAAAUAUGGGAAUCACGUUAAACUGUCAUCUAAAAUCCCCAUUUAUCUCAAGUUUUAGGGCAUUAAAGAAUGAAUUUAAGCCAUGGGAGAGUGCAUAACAACAUAAAGCAUUAACAAGGAAUCUGCAGAAUUCAACUUUAGUUUCACAAAAAUUGCCAUCACCUCAUAAAUCUCUUCAACUCCGUGUAUGCCAAGCUGAUCCUUAUGAAUGAAAAUACUAUUAAUUUAAUAGCAUUGGGGCUUGAAGAUAUCCGCUUUUGAAUUCCACUGCAAGGUAAUCCAAAAAUAUUUUAAAAGCAGCAUUUAGAAUCAAAUAGUUUCCAUUCACAAUAAGUUUAACCAGAGAUCUGUCAUAGCAGUAUAAUUAGCAUUUAAUUUGGAUAAUUUAAACAUGAAGAUCAAUCCAACAUACAGAAUGAGAAAGAGAACAUUUAUCACAAAAGAAAGUUAUUUUGAUUCAUCGGAGUAAGUAAAAUCUUUAAUCAAUUAAUCAUGCAUGGCUCAACCAUCUAGAACUAAUCUAAAAUUAAAAUGUGUAACUCUCGUAUCUAAAAAAUGAACAUCAAUACUAGGGGUAAAAACCAGAUACAUGUGCGCAUAAGUCACUUGGAUUCGGCUACAAGUAAAACUCAAAUCAAUUCAGUCAUUGUCAAGUUGAACUCAAGCUUGAUAACCUUACUCGGAUUUGGCAAAGAGAAGGAAAUAAAAAAACUCAAAUAAAUUCAAGUGAAAAGCAUGUAUCAAAAACUAAAAAACAGAGAUGUUCCCAUAAAAAAAACAUAGUUAGGGGGAUUGCAUAAAUCAUAAAAAACAGAAACAGAGGAGAAAACUUAGGAUUUGUACCUCGAAAAAGUACACAGGAAACAAACAAAAAGAACAAACAGAUCGAGAUCAAUAGAUUUGAAACACGAAACGAAACAGUGAUGUCUAAACCUGAAAACCAAAAACCAUAAAAUAGAAAUGAAAAGGCAAAAGACAAAAACAAAAACAAAGACAAAGGCAAAGAAAUGAAAAAGCAAACCCAAGUAAAGAUUCAUACCUGAAAUUAGUCUCCGAAAAAGCAACCAAAAAGAAACAGACAGGACCCAUAUCGACAGAUUUCAAACACAGAGCGAAACAGUGAAUUGUAAACCUGAAAACCAAAAUCCCCAUUUAUGUUUUAUUUUUUUCUUUACAUUUUAUUAACUGCUUACAAAAACUCUCUUAAAGUCACAUUAAUACCAAAGCACAUACAUAGAUCCUUUCCUUUGAUCCAAUUAAGGAACUUAGCAAGAAAAGAUAGUUACUUAAACAAUUUAUACAAAGGCACAAUUGCUUAAACAAUUUCACCAGAAAUGAAGUUAUGUGGUCUUAGUUGAACUUUUAAGCAUAAUGUUCAUAAAAGAAAUGUGGGUAUCAGGUUAAACUGGCAUCUAAUCCCCAUUUAUCUCAAGUUUUAGGGCAAUAAAUAAUGAAUUUAAGCCAUGGGAGAGUGCAUAUGAACAUUAAAAUUGAAAAGAAAAGAUAUUGGGAUAAGAACAUUACCGUGCAAUACGAUGAAGGGAAUAGCGUGUCUAUUUGGGAUAAGAAUCAAUGUAAUAGAGAUUGACUGCAAAAGAGAGGCCAUUGCUGGUGAAAUCUGGCAGAGCCAGAGUUUCUUUCUUUCCCAAAGCAUCCAACAAGAACAACCACAAAGACAUCCAUAGAUUUGAAAAGACGAACCGAAACAAUAUUUCCUAGGGCUGAAAACCCAAAAUCUAUGGAUGAAGCAAGUGAUUUCCAUAUCAGAAAAUAAAACAGAAACGAUUGAGAAGGAAGAGAAGAAAACGGAUGAGAGAGGAAAAAUUUGAAGAGAAAGAGAUGGUGAAGAAUUGGGAAAGUGAAGGAGAGAGGAUUUAAAUUUCCAACUAUGGGAAAGGAAGGGGAUUUGAAAAGACUGAUGAAAACGGGCAGAGGGGCUCUUCUCCUGUCAACGGUAACUAGCUAUUUAAUAUACUCAUUUAAUAAAGUGAUAAUUGAGUUGUUUAGCUUUCAAAAUUUUAUUUAAUACACUUAGGGCACGUUUGGUUCGCUGUAUUGGAUUAGAGGUGUAUUGGAUUAGAGGUGUAAUGGAAUAGAGGUGUAAUAGCAAAUCAACUGUUUGGUUGAAUGUAAUGGAAUAGAGGCGUAAUAGUAAAACUGUGUUUGGUUGAAUGUAAUAGAGGUGUAAUAGCAUAAUGGAGAAAACUAAAAUGACCAGAAUACCCUUAGCAUAAAUUUAUUUUGGUAAAUGAUUAUUGUUAUUGUUAUUUAAAUUUUAAUAAGAUUAUUUAUUAUCAAAAAUAAAUAAUUUAAUCAUAUUUAAACAUAAUUAUUAUUAAAUAUAUUAAAUAUAUUAUAAUUAAAAUAUAUAAUUUAAUAAAAUUCUUAAUAAUUAAUAUUCUUAUAUGAAUUUACUCAAAUCAUAAUAUAUGAUACUAUAAAAGAUAAUUUGAAAUGAUUAAUAUUAAAUAUAUUUUAAUUAAAAUAUAUGAUUUAAUAAAAUUUAAAAUAAUUAUAACUAAUAAAUUAUCUUAUAUGAAUUUGUAUAAUUUAAAAUAAUUAUUAUUACAUAUAAUUUAAUAAGAUAUAAUUUCAUAAAAUUAUUGAUAAUAAAUUUUCUUAUAUGAAUUUAUAUAAUUUAAAAUAAUUUAUAUAAUAAAUCUAUUGUAUAACUUUCUCAAAGAGGUUCUUUCAUCGUCGGGCAUGGGUGUUGAAACCAAAUACUUUAAGAAAAAUGAAUACUCUGACAGGGGUAUAAAAAAGGGAUACUUCAAGCAAAAUGAAGAGUCGGAGAAACAUAGCUCUGUAUAUUCUCUCAGUUGCUAUAUUUUUUGGUUUUCUUACCUUAUUCUCUGAAUUUUCUUCCUCAAUGAGGUUCUUUUUUAUUUUUUGAUUUUAGCUUUGCCCCUAUGGCAUGAACCUUGUGAUGAAUUAAAAAAUUAAAGAAAUAUAUAAAAAUGGAUAAAAUUACAAUGAAUCAUUACUCCAAAGUUAUAAACUAGUUAUUCUAAUAUGAUAUUAAAAUGCCAAGAGUGCAAAACAAAUAAUUUUCCAAGGAUACCAAAUCAAAAGGGACUUAAAAGGCCAACUAGACAGAGAAAUUCAAGCAGAUGCAUCGCCGUAUUUCAUCAUUGAUAUGUUGCAUUUUGGAUCAUAAUUCAAAUUCAACUACAAAUUAUAGGUUAAUGGGUUUGAAGCAGCACCAACAACUGUAGCCAUGGGAUUCGACAAAUUGGGAGCAGCAAGAAUUGCAGUAGUGGUGUUUGAUGGAACUGUAGUUCCUACAUUCAAACAAGUUCAGUCAGUUAAGUAUCUAGCAUUUCAAUAUGAUUCAACAAGCAUACAACUAUGAUAAAGAGGAGUUACUCUUAGCAACUAGGAAAAAUAUGACAUAAAAAGACAUCAACUUAUUUUUCCCAUGAAGCAAAAAAAGAACAUCUUAACACCAUACAUCAAUGGCAAGCAAGACCAAGUCAUUUUGCCUCUAUAUUAAUGGAUUUUCUAGCAGCAAUCUGAAACACAACUCCAUAAGUUAAGCUAUCAUAAAGAUACAAUUAUGGCUAUAAUAGUGGACCUUUAUAAACUUUAAAAUAUAGCAGCCAAGUACAUUGAAUAAUAAACUUGAGCAAAAGGCUGCAGAAGAAAAAAGCAAACUGAUUUCUAUGAUAGAGAAAUCAAUGCCCGUAUUGAUAAAGAGAAGGCCAACAACCACAAUAAUAAAGAGACAUUUAAGCCAUCUAAGAAAAAACAUAAGCAUCCAUGUUAAUCAGAUUCACCAUUUUGACCAUGCAACAACUUAUAGAAAGAUAUAGAAAAAAACGCUUAUGAAAACAACUAAACAUGAAAAAAUACCUGCAUAUAUCGCACAACAGUACUAGUAUAAUCAACAGCUCUCCUUUGGGUCAGCCUUCUCAUUCUUUUCGCAGCAAAUUUGUCACCAUAAGCUGAAAGAAGUAUUUAAUAGAAAAAAUAAAAGAAUUUUGUCAGAACUAAAAUUUAGAUAGCCUAACUUUCCAAUCAUUUCAAAGGAAAACCGUAAACUCAACAAUUUCAAGGAUUAAACUGUAGGGGUUUUAAGCAUUUUAACCAUCUACUUUGAGGCCAAGGAAGUAUACAGCAGUAAAAUUUUGCAAUUUUCUCUCAAGGUCUGCACAUAUGUUCUAUGCUUAUAAUCAGAUUUCCUUCUAAAAGUGACAAACAAUCCAAACUAGAAACACAGUCUAAUUUGAAGUAGAAAUCUAUUAGACUGUUGUACCAACGACGAUUUAGCACCAAAACUUAAGAUCAUAGUCAAAUAUGGUUCAAUGACAAAUAUAUAAUUGCAAAAUCAUCACAUCAAUGUCUCCUUUCACAUCCUCUUCAACUGUCAUUACAAUUUCUUCAAACAAGAUGUUCCAGAACCAAACAUCCAUUACUCAUCAUCAUUGGUUUUUCAACAAAAAAAAAAACAUAAACAGAUCAAUAAAAGUAAAUGCAUUGAAUUUCUCCAGUAAACUGCAUCAUCAUCCCACACGGGAGCAACUUCCUCUUUCUUACACUCCCACAAGAGGGACCCUAAAUACUCCCUACAAUCUUCAGCACUGUCGAUAAAAUCACAGAAAUUUACUUAAGAGCAUGAGUCAAAACACUCUUGAAACUGCUUGUGCUCCAUGCAAUAAACUAUAGCUCAACAAACAACCCAAUUUACCUUGUAUUAUUAUCGAAGAAACCGACAGUGAUACUCUGAUUAGCAACUGCCAAUUUGUGUUCAGCAGAAGCUCUGACUUGUUCUUCAACAGUUUGAACCUUAUCAAAGAAAAUAUAAUCAAACACAAUUCAAGGUAAAACAAAAUGGUACGCAACAGAAAACACUACUUAAUGAUUAGGAACAUACUAUUUCAAAACGUAAAACAAGUACAUCCUUCUUCUGGCCUAGCCUAUGAGCUCUUGCUUGUGCUUCAAAUCGAGACAGAGAAUAAUCGUCGUUUCGCAUCCAUUCUGAGUUAUCAAUGCAUAUCAUGGUAGCCUAAUUGACCGAUUUGAAAAUUGAAAACCAAAAAAGAAAAAUCAACAAAACCCUUUUGAGUAACGAAAAAAGAAGAAAAAAAAUACUAAAAUAAUUGAUAAUUUAGAAGAAGGAGAUCAAAAGAGGAAUCUAAAAUUGAAUAGCUUACCUCGAGAACCAUGGCUAAAAAACCGACAAAAAACACAUAAUAGAAAUGUUAAAAAGAAUGGAAAAAUCAAAGAAAAAACGCUUCACUCUUCCUUCAAUGGAUUAAGCUAGAAUUUCCAAUUUUGUGAAUAUAUUGAAGAGAAAAAGAGAGGGUUUUGGUGUGCGGAGCAGAUAGUGUUGGGAGGAAAUGGGGAAGGGAAAUUUGAUGCCGAGACGAGAAGAAACGAUGACGACAGAUUAAUCAACGGAAUCAGUGGGAAAUGGGAGGAGAAAAUGAUUAGGACGGAAGAGGAGAGGGUCGGGUAGGGAGGGAGGGUAAAACAGAGAGAUGGGGAGGGAGGCCAGGCGUAAUGGCUAAUACAACGAUUUGGGAACGGAUUGUAAAACACGAGAAUUUGGGGAUUAGGGGCGUAAUGUAAUACGCGCGUAAUGGCUAAUACAGCGAACCAAACGCCGGAUUAGGGGCGUAAUGUAAUACGCGCGUAAUCGAGGCGUAAUGGAUUGGGUAAUACGGCGAACCAAACACGCUUAUUUUUAAUAUUCUCAGUCUGAAUAUAUUUAUUUUUAAAAUAGUACUAUAUCAAAUAUAUAAAGGGUCAAAAAAGUUUAUGUUUAUGUUCAUUAUGGUUUGUCUGUUUGUUGGGAGCUGUUUAGUGUUUUUUGUAAGGAGUUUGGCCAGGCGAUCUGUUAGUGUUUCAUGGUGGUCUCUACCUUAUUAAUAAAUGUCAAUUUCUCUGAGCAAAAAAUAAAUAAUAAUAAAGUCUUGCCUUGACCCAUGCAACAUCAAAUAUCACAUAUAUGCUCUGCCGCCUGCCGUCAAGUUUUUGACCAUGGAACAUUAUACAGUACUCUGAAUAUUGACCAUGGCAUUGAACACAUAUAUUAUAUUAUAUGCUGUCAUGAAUGGGGGGGGGUCUCCAGGUGUUUUAUAGGCUUUGAUGAAGCUGGAACUUAGAGACAUGGGCAGAGAAAUAGGUUAGUAGCCAAUCAUUAAUCAAGAUUUGAAAAAGGACGAUAUUAUUAAUAAAUGAAUUUGCGCAACCACAACCAUAUGAUUAGCUGCAGAUACCGCCACACCAUUCACCCUAACAAGGAUAAUAAAUAUCUGAAGCUCUCAAUUAGCUGCUUUUGAUAUUAACUUCUUGAUCGACCAUUACUGAGUGGUCAACAAACUUCAACUUUACCCCAACCGAAAGUUACGUUUCAAUUCUAGCAAAGGGAAUCAAUUAUAGGAAUCUAAGGUCUUCCCACGGUAGAUUAUACCUUCCCUUUUAUUGUCAAUAAAUCAAAUAUUAAACCAAUUAAUCCAACAUGACUUCUCAAAUCAUGUGUCAAAGGAAUGUAGCCUCUUUUUUUUUUUUACUUAAAACUCCGACAGGAAAAGGUUCACAUUACGAGACAGAGCAGAUGCAUCAGAGCCUCUAUUGAUGAUUUUCAGUAUUUACAUAAGACAUGAAAAAGACUACCACCCACACUUCAACUUAGUAUCCUUGUAUAUCUGAAAAUGAAAUAUUAAAUCCCAUCUUCAAAAUAAAUAAGUUUGGGGCCAUAAAAAUUACAGUGGAUGUUCCUUGAUGUAUGUAUGUAUUUAUGUAUGUAUGUAGUCAUACAUUUGCCACACACCAAAUCUGGAC